CGCGGGGUGUAGCAGCCUGGUAGCUCGUCGGGCUCAUAACCCGAAGGUCGUCGGUUCAAAUCCGGCCCCCGCAACCA
Molecule: transfer RNA, 77 nt
Filed under: Escherichia coli
Lineage: Bacteria; Pseudomonadati; Pseudomonadota; Gammaproteobacteria; Enterobacterales; Enterobacteriaceae
Also listed under: 1 other name
Description: tRNA-Met
Rfam family: tRNA
About the family: Transfer RNA (tRNA) molecules are approximately 80 nucleotides in length. Their secondary structure includes four short double-helical elements and three loops (D, anti-codon, and T loops).
Source: RNAcentral